Molecule: ribosomal RNA, 420 nt
Filed under: uncultured Acetoanaerobium sp.
Lineage: Bacteria; Bacillati; Bacillota; Clostridia; Peptostreptococcales; Filifactoraceae
Description: bacterial SSU rRNA
Rfam family: Bacterial small subunit ribosomal RNA
Source: RNAcentral
CAGGAAUAUUGGUCAAUGGGCGCAAGCCUGAACCAGCCAUGCCGCGUGCAGGAAGACGGCCCUAUGGGUUGUAAACUGCUUUUGUCAGGGAAUAAACCCCCGUACGUGUACGGGGCUGAAGGUACCUGAAGAAUAAGCAUCGGCUAACUCCGUGCCAGCAGCCGCGGUAAUACGUAGGGGGCAAGCGUUAUCCGGAAUUACUGGGCGUAAAGGGUGCGUAGGCGGUUUAUCAAGUCGGGGGUGAAAGGCUACGGCUCAACCGUAGUGAGCCUCUGAAACUGGUGAACUUGAGUGUAGGAGAGGAAAGUGGAAUUCCCAGUGUAGCGGUGAAAUGCGUAGAUAUUGGGAGGAACACCAGUGGCGAAGGCGACUUUCUGGACUACAACUGACGCUGAGGCACGAAAGCGUGGGGAGCAAACA